This 415-nucleotide ribosomal RNA is filed under the name uncultured bacterium. RNAcentral's name for it is "bacterial SSU rRNA". It matches the Rfam family "Bacterial small subunit ribosomal RNA", at positions 355 to 794 of the family's 1533-position model. The record is from RNAcentral.
UGGGGAAUCUUGCGCAAUGGGCGAAAGCCUGACGCAGCAACGCCGCGUGCGGGAAGAAGGCCUUCGGGUUGUAAACCGCUUUCAGAAGGAACGCGGUACUUUCAGAAGAAGGUGCGGCCAACUACGUGCCAGCAGCCGCGGUGACACGUAGGCACCAAGCGUUGUCCGGAUUUAUUGGGCGUAAAGAGCUCGUAGGCGGUUCGGUAAGUCGGGUGUGAAAACUUUGGGCUCAACCCAAAGCGUGCAUUCGAUACUGUCGGACUAGAGUUCGGUAGGGGAGCGGGGAAUUCCUAGUGUAGCGGUGAAAUGCGCAGAUAUUAGGAGGAACACCGGUGGCGAAGGCGCCGCUCUGGGCCGAAACUGACGCUGAGGAGCGAAAGCGUGGGUAGCAAACAGGAUUAGAUACCCGGGUAGU